CCUACGGGUGGCAGCAGUGAGGAAUAUUGGUCAAUGGGCGUAAGCCUGAACCAGCCAAGUCGCGUGAGGGAUGAAGGCUCUAUGGAUCGUAAACAUCUUUUAUAAGGGAAUAAAGUGUGGGACGUGUCCUAUUUUGUAUGUACCUUAUGAAUAAGGAUCGGCUACCUCCGUGCCAGCAGCCGCGGUAAUACGGAGGAUCCGAGCGUUACCCGGAUUUAUUGGGUUUAAAGGGUGCGUAGGCGGCAUUUUAAGUCAGCGGUGAAAGCCUGUGGUUAAACGAUAGAAUUGCCGUUGAAACUGGGGGGCUUGAGUAUGUUUGAGGCGGGCGGAAUGCGUGGUGUAGCGGUGAAAUGCUUAGAGAUCACGCAGAACCCCGAUUGCGAAGGCAGCCCGCCAAGCCAUGACUGACGCUGAUGCACGAAAGCGUGGGGAUCAAACAGGAUUAGAUACCCCUGUAGUC
Molecule: ribosomal RNA, 460 nt
Filed under: uncultured bacterium
Lineage: Bacteria
Description: partial 16S ribosomal RNA
Rfam family: Bacterial small subunit ribosomal RNA
Source: RNAcentral